GACGAACGCUGGCGGCGUGCUUAACACAUGCAAGUCGAACGGAAAGGCCCUGCUUUUGUUGGGUGCUCGAGUGGCGAACGGGUGAGUAACACGUGAGUAACCUGCCCUUGACUUUGGGAUAACUUCAGGAAACUGGGGCUAAUACCGGAUAGGAGCUCCUGCUGCAUGGUGGUGGUUGGAAAGUUUCGGCGGUUGGGGAUGGACUCGCGGCUUAUCAGCUUGUUGGUGGGGUAGUGGCUUACCAAGGCUUUGACGGGUAGCCGGCCUGAGAGGGUGACCGGCCACAUUGGGACUGAGAUACGGCCCAGACUCCUACGGGAGGCAGCAGUGGGGAAUAUUGCACAAUGGGCGGAAGCCUGAUGCAGCAACGCCGCGUGCGGGAUGACGGCCUUCGGGUUGUAAACCGCUUUCGACUGUGACGAAGCGUGAGUGACGGUAAUGGGUAAAGAAGCACCGGCUAACUACGUG
RNAcentral lists this ribosomal RNA (468 nucleotides) under uncultured bacterium. RNAcentral's name for it is "partial 16S ribosomal RNA". It matches the Rfam family "Bacterial small subunit ribosomal RNA", at positions 28 to 507 of the family's 1533-position model. The record is from RNAcentral.